Molecule: transfer RNA, 76 nt
Filed under: Kocuria palustris
Lineage: Bacteria; Bacillati; Actinomycetota; Actinomycetes; Micrococcales; Micrococcaceae
Description: tRNA-Arg
Rfam family: tRNA
About the family: Transfer RNA (tRNA) molecules are approximately 80 nucleotides in length. Their secondary structure includes four short double-helical elements and three loops (D, anti-codon, and T loops). Further hydrogen bonds mediate the characteristic L-shaped molecular structure. tRNAs have two regions of fundamental functional importance: the anti-codon, which is responsible for specific mRNA codon recognition, and the 3' end, to which the tRNAs corresponding amino acid is attached (by aminoacyl-tRNA synthetases). tRNAs cope with the degeneracy of the genetic code in two manners: having more than one tRNA (with a specific anti-codon) for a particular amino acid; and 'wobble' base-pairing, i.e. permitting non-standard base-pairing at the 3rd anti-codon position.
Source: RNAcentral
GCCCGAGUAGCUCAGGGGAUAGAGCGCCUGCCUCCGGAGCAGGAAGUCGUAGGUUCGAAUCCUAUCUCGGGCACCU